AUCAUUUUUCACAUAAUAUAUGAAAGCAUUUGUUACACACCACGAGAAUUAGGUAUUUAUAGAGACUCGUUUUUUAGUUGUAAACCUCCUAAUAAAGGCAAUGUGUUAGAAAAAUGAUCUAGGAAAAGUUGUACUUCAUUUAUGCUAUGAGAUGCUAGUGCAUAUAGUAAGAAUGAAAUUCUAGAGUAUUUUUUUUUCUCCUACUAUUAGCCAUCAUUUUUCACAUAAUAUAUGAAAGCAUUUGUUGCACGCCGUGAGAAUUAGGUAUUUAAUGAGAGUCAUCUUUUAAUUGUAAACCUUCUAAUACAAGUAAUAUGUUAGAAAAAUGAUUAAGCAAAAGGUUGGAACUUUAUUUGUGCUAUUAUAUUCUUGUACAUCUAGCCAGAAUGAAACUUUAGAAUUUUCUUUCUACUUAUAAUUUGCUAGCUGGCUGUUUUAAUAAAAUAUAUGGAAGCACUUAUUACACGCCAUG
RNAcentral lists this long non-coding RNA (472 nucleotides) under Elaeis guineensis (African oil palm). RNAcentral describes it as "long non-coding RNA (EGUI_LNC028831)". The record is from RNAcentral. Lineage: Eukaryota; Viridiplantae; Streptophyta; Magnoliopsida; Arecales; Arecaceae.